AGCUCCAAAAGCAUAUAUUAAAGUUGUUGCGGUUAAAAAGCUCGUAGUUGGACUUCUGCUUUGGUUGGCUGGUCUACCCACUGGGUAAGUAUCUGGCAUGACUGAAGCAUGUGUUGCAAAUAUACUACUGCACUUGACUGUGUGGUGUGGUAUUUAUCGCUUUUACUUUGACAAAAAACAGAGUGUUCCACGCAGGCGGAUGUCUUGAAUAUGUGAGCAUGGAAUAAUGAGUCAAGGCUUUGGUUUGUUGUUGGUUCAAAACAUUGGGUAAUGAUGAAUAGGGAUAGUUGGGGGCACUUGUAUUUAAUUGUCAGAUGUGAAAUUCUUGGAUUUGUUAAAGACAAACCACUGCGAAAGCAUUUGCCAAAAAUGUUUUCAUUGAUCAAGAACGAAAGUACGC
RNAcentral lists this ribosomal RNA (400 nucleotides) under phytoplankton environmental sample. RNAcentral describes it as "partial small subunit ribosomal RNA". It matches the Rfam family "Eukaryotic small subunit ribosomal RNA", at positions 587 to 994 of the family's 1831-position model. The record is from RNAcentral.